AGGACGAACGCUGGCGGCGUGCUUAACACAUGCAAGUCGAGCGGAAAGGCCCUUCGGGGUACUCGAGCGGCGAACGGGUGAGUAACACGUGAGCAACCUGCCCCUAGCUCUGGGAUAGCUCCGGGAAACCGGGAUUAAUACCAGAUACGACCACUUUAGACAUCUGCUGUGGUGGAAAGGAUUCCGGCUAGGGAUGGGCUCGCGGCCUAUCAGCUUGUUGGUGGAGUAACGGCCCACCAAGGCGACGACGGGUA
This 254-nucleotide ribosomal RNA is filed under the name uncultured bacterium. RNAcentral describes it as "partial small subunit ribosomal RNA". It matches the Rfam family "Bacterial small subunit ribosomal RNA", at positions 26 to 285 of the family's 1533-position model. The record is from RNAcentral.